CCCUCACAGCAAAGCAAAGGUGGGUUCACAGCAGCACAUGGCUCUGACUCCUCUCCCUCCUCUUCCUCGUGCCUCCCCAGGGCCUGACUUUGUCUUCAGCCUCUACGACUCGCGUGGGCUGGGCUCGGUGGCACUGGAGCUGGUGCCACCCUUCAGCAUCAGCGGCUCGCUGGGCACCUCGGGCAGUGCCUACGAGCCCUUCCACAGCCAGAGGCCGUGAGGGGAGAGCUGGGCUGCUGAGCAGGCCUUGGUUUGUGUCUCCUUUCCUGCUGUCCCAGGCACAGAGGAUGGGGCUGGAGCCCUGGGUGCUCCUGCAGAGCUUCCCCUCUCUGCCUCUCACUCACAGCCCAGCACCAACAGAAAAAGCAACCAAAACUGCCCGGGGGGAAUUCCUCCGUUUUCACUUCUGUAAGAAACAGCCCCUGAAUUUGUUGGAUUUCAAUCCAAAUGGCCACGGUGCAGUUUCUGUUGCUGAAAAAUCUUCCCAGGAUCACAGAAGCCUUGGGGCUGGAAAAGACCUCUGGCCCAACCGCCCUGUGCCCAAAGUCACCUGGAGCAGGUGACACAGGAACUCACGCAGGUGGGUUUGGGACAUCUCCAGAGAGGGAAACUCCACCAAUUCCCUGGGCAUCUCCUCCACCUGCAGCUCCCUCACUGGGUCCCUGCAGCCACGAGUGCACAGGAGGUGCCUGGGCUGGUGCUUGGGAUGGAGGAAGAGGAUGCAGCUCUGUCCAGGAUUCCUCAGCAUCCUGCAGAAAACAUUCCCCACGGCUCAGAGACCUCCCAGCCUCCUGCACACCAGAGCCCUGGCACCAGGCUGGUCCUCAGGGAACCAGCUGAGGAGCAGCCCCAAAACUGGGUGAGUGCAUUGGUGCAACUGCAGAAAACACCGAGAGGAAAUGGGAAAUCUGUCUCAACCCUCGUCCUCCUCCUCCAUCCAGUACCUGCACCCACAUGGAUGGAAGUUGGUUCUCCACACUCCCAGUGCAAGGAAACACCUCAGAAAGCCCUUGUGGAAGUUCCUUGUGGAUUUUUGGUGCCAUUUGCCUUCGUUUUCAGCAGAACAAGGGGCUGUGAAGUUCCUGGAGCACAGGAACAGCCCUGGGGAGGAUCUGUGGCUACAGAGAGGGGCCCUGCUUGGCCAGGGGUGCUGGUGAGGCACGGUGGGGAGCCUUGGGACCAUUUCUUUGCGAGUUUCUCUCAGAAGAAAAAGGAAAAACUCACAAGAGCCACGUGGCAUAGGGAAACCAGUGAGGACAGAGCGGGAUUUCCAGGGAAAUUUCAGAAUUCAGAGGGACCAGCUGUGCUCUCGGCCACCGAAACUGAACCCUGUGGUCUGCGGCUUUCUCCUGGCUCAAAGGAGACCUGCUCAGGGGACUGCUCAGGGGAAGGGGAAAUGCAGCUGCUGGGGGCUGGGAGCCCUCGUUGUGAGCAGGACCCAGCAGAGCCCUGCGUGACGCAGGAUCCGCCCGUGGGGCCCGACGUCAGCGGCGUUCAAAAGAAAAACUAAAAAAAAGCGCCACGUUUUUGAUGACUGCAUUUUC
This is a non-coding RNA of Zonotrichia albicollis (white-throated sparrow), 1544 nucleotides long. The record is from RefSeq and is a predicted model, not a curated record. Lineage: Eukaryota; Metazoa; Chordata; Aves; Passeriformes; Passerellidae.